Molecule: ribosomal RNA, 1546 nt
Filed under: uncultured prokaryote
Description: partial 16S ribosomal RNA
Rfam family: Bacterial small subunit ribosomal RNA
Source: RNAcentral
AGAGUUUGAUCCUGGCUCAGAACGAACGCUGGCGGCAUGGCUAAGACAUGCAAGUCGUACGAACCGUUUCUUGCUUGCAAAAGACGGUUAGUGGCGAAAGGGAGAGUAAUGCAUAGGUAACGUACCCCGAACUCAGGGAUAACAGCGGAGGCUUCGGUCUCCUUUGCGAAAGUGCUGCUAAUACCUGAUAACACCUCCGGGCCGCAUGGCCCGGGGCUCAAAGGUGGGGAUCUUCGGACCUACCGGUUUGGGAGCGACCUAUGUCCUAUCAGCUUGUUGGUGAGGUAACGGCUCACCAAGGCUGCGACGGGUAGCGGGCGUGAGAGCGUGACCCGCCUCAUCGGAACUGAGACACUGUCCGGACACCUACGGGUGGCUGCAGUAACGAAUAUUGGGCAAUGGGCGCAAGCCUGACCCAGCAAUGCCGCGUGCAGGACGAAGUCUUUCGGGAUGUAAACUGCUGUCAGGGUUUAGCAAGCAAUGGACUCUAAUAUAGUCCGGCGUUGAGCAGACCCAAAGGAAGCCUCGGCUAACUCCGUGCCAGCAGCCGCGGUAAUACGGAGGAGGCAAGCGUUGUUCGGAAUUAUUGGGCUUAAAGAGCGUGUAGGCGGCCAAGUAAGUGUCUUGUGAAAUCCCUCGGCUCAACCGAGGAACUGCUCGGCAUACUGCUUGGCUUGAGGUCGGUAGAGGUGACUGGAACUCUAGGUGGAGCGGUGAAAUGCGUAGAUAUCUAGAGGAACGCCGGAGGCGAAAGCGGGUCACUGGGCCGAUUCUGACGCUGAGACGCGAAAGCGUGGGUAGCAAACAGGAUUAGAUACCCUGGUAGUCCACGCCGUAAACGAUGCACACUAGGCUCGGGGACCUCUGACGGUAUCCGGGCCGGAGCAAAAGCGAUAAGUGUGCCGCCUGGGGAGUACGGCCGCAAGGCUAAAACUCAAAGGAAUUGACGGGGGCUCACACAAGCGGUGGAGCAUGUGGCUUAAUUCGAAGCAACGCGAAGAACCUUACCCGGGUUUGACAUGCUUGGAUGCCUCUUGGGGAUAACUCAGGUAGGCUGCCCUUCGGGGUGAAACUUGCACAGGUGUUGCAUGGCUGUCGUCAGCUCGUGCUGUGAAGUGUCGGGUUAAGUCCCUUAACGAGCGAAACCCCUAUCGUUAGUUGCCAGCGAGUAAUGUCGGGGACUCUAGCGAGACUGCCGGCGUCAAGCCGGAGGAAGGUGGGGACGACGUCAAGUCAUCAUGGCCCUUAUGCCCGGGGUUGCACACGUGCUACAAUGGCGCGCACAGAGGGAAGCAAGACCGCGAGGUGGAGCAAACCCCAAAAAACGUGCCUCAGUUCGGAUUGGAGUCUGAAAUUCGACUCCAUGAAGUUGGAAUCGCUAGUAAUCGCGUAUCAGCUAUGACGCGGUGAAUAUGUUCCUGAGCCUUGUACACACCGCCCGUCAAGUCAUGGAAGCUGGUAGCACCCGAAGUCCGUUUAGCUAACCCUCACGGGAUGCGGCGGCCGACGGUGAGACUGGUGACUGGGACUAAGUCGUAACAAGGUA